AAACGACCACAUACGAAGUUGAUG
Molecule: non-coding RNA, 24 nt
Filed under: Arabidopsis thaliana (thale cress)
Lineage: Eukaryota; Viridiplantae; Streptophyta; Magnoliopsida; Brassicales; Brassicaceae
Source: RNAcentral